GCCCUUAUCGACUAGUGGUUCAGGACAUCUCUCUUUCAAGGAGGCAGCGGUGAUUCGACUUCCCCUGGGGGUA
This 73-nucleotide transfer RNA is filed under the name Brachypodium distachyon (stiff brome). It matches the Rfam family "tRNA". Rfam says of the family: Transfer RNA (tRNA) molecules are approximately 80 nucleotides in length. Lineage: Eukaryota; Viridiplantae; Streptophyta; Magnoliopsida; Poales; Poaceae. The record is from Rfam by way of RNAcentral.